UACUAAAGAAUGAAAAAUACAGAGAAGAA
This 29-nucleotide non-coding RNA is filed under the name Cricetulus griseus (Chinese hamster). The record is from RNAcentral. Lineage: Eukaryota; Metazoa; Chordata; Mammalia; Rodentia; Cricetidae.